AAGCGCUUGCGACCAGACUUGCCCGCGGAUGCUCAACCGGUCCUCCGGCCGGUGCACUCUUCCGCGGUCAGGCCAGCAUCAGUUCGGGCGGUCGGAUAAAGGCCUCGGGAAUGUAUCUCUCUUCGGGGAGUGUUAUAGCCCUUGGUGCAAUACGGCCCGCCUGGACUGAGGCCCGCGCUUCGUGCUAGGAUGCUGGCGUAAUGGUCGUAAGCGG
This 214-nucleotide ribosomal RNA is filed under the name Helicosporium gracile. Its description in RNAcentral is "partial large subunit ribosomal RNA". Lineage: Eukaryota; Fungi; Ascomycota; Dothideomycetes; Tubeufiales; Tubeufiaceae. The record is from RNAcentral.